AUUGAACGCUGGCGGCAUGCCUUACACAUGCAAGUCGAACGGCAGCACGGGGCAACCUGGUGGCGAGUGGCGAACGGGUGAGUAAUGCAUCGGAACGUGCCAUUGAGUGGGGGAUAACGUAGCGAAAGUUGCGCUAAUACCGCAUAUUCUGUGAGCAGGAAAGCAGGGGACCGCAAGGCCUUGCGCUCUUUGAGCGGCCGAUGUCAGAUUAGCUAGUUGGUGAGGUAACGGCUUACCAAGGCGACGAUCUGUAGCGGGUCUGAGAGGAUGAUCCGCCACACUGGAACUGAGACACGGUCCAGACUCCUACGGGAGGCAGCAGUGGGGAAUUUUGGACAAUGGGCGCAAGCCUGAUCCAGCCAUGCCGCGUGAGUGAAGAAGGC
RNAcentral lists this ribosomal RNA (383 nucleotides) under uncultured bacterium. RNAcentral describes it as "bacterial SSU rRNA". It matches the Rfam family "Bacterial small subunit ribosomal RNA", at positions 30 to 415 of the family's 1533-position model. The record is from RNAcentral.